Molecule: long non-coding RNA, 458 nt
Organism: Panthera uncia (snow leopard)
Lineage: Eukaryota; Metazoa; Chordata; Mammalia; Carnivora; Felidae
Exons: 2
Source: RefSeq, a predicted model, not a curated record
AGUACCAUGAUCAUAGUGCUAAAUGAAAGAAUAAUUUAUGUAGGCUGUCCUGUGCCAUUCUCUUGGUAUUUGUCCUUACCUCUAAGAUACUCUAAAAUCAUUGGAAAUGUCACUGCUGUAUCUCUGAAAAGUUUCUCCAAGUAUUUCUUCUUUUCACCACGUACAGAACUUGAGCUCAUGUGUCAGCCUCUCCAUAGAUAAAAUGGAAUGUAUUGGCUGGUUGCUCGUGAAUGAAUUAUCUCUUUAUGGCUAGAAUGAUUCCCCUCAGCAAAAGGUAUGCUGGGCUUAGGCGAAAGGCAGCGUCCUGUAAGACGGAGGCCAGGAGAAUGGGUGUUCAGUUCAGUGCAGCCUUGUCUCCCUCUCUCAGCACAGAAAAGGAGGAACUUAGUAUGACUUUGCCUUUUCUAUCAUAAGUGUUAACUUGAUGACUCAAAUAAUAGAAGCUUCUCUUUGAACCA